AGAUUAUGCUUUCCAGAUCCAUUUAUCACAAUUUUGUCUAUAUUAGCUGGACUUCUAUCUGUUAAAAAAAUACUCCGUAAAAGAUAGUAGUAUACCUUACAUUAGAUUUUAUGAUGAAGACACAAAUAAACAAAUGUACAAAAUAAUUCUGUACUUCACCUGUUGGGAGAGUGUGAUGAAGCCAUGCGAAAACACAGAGGAGUCUUCCAACAGACUUUGUACGGUUGGAUCAAGAUAUUUUGACACCUCUUGCAGGGAAGAAGCAGCUAUAUACCUAUGAAACCAUGGAUUUCUGGGAACAAAUUAAAACACCAGGAAUGUCUUUGAAAUGCUCUGGUCUCUACCUGGCUCAAUAUAGUUCUACCUCACUGUUAAGAAAAAACAAUUAAUUUAGAAUCUGGAAUUUUUAUAACGCAAAAAUAAAAUUUUGGAAUCAAAAUAAUCCAUUAAAAAAGAAAUCAAAAUAGGCUUCACGCACAGAAUCUGUGCGUAAAAAGACCAAAGUGUACAUUUACACUUAAGUUCUUUUACGCACAGAUUCUGUGCGUAAAAGUACUGAAAUAACACGUCCCCUUCCUUCUU
Molecule: long non-coding RNA, 582 nt
Organism: Lycium barbarum (goji berry)
Lineage: Eukaryota; Viridiplantae; Streptophyta; Magnoliopsida; Solanales; Solanaceae
Exons: 3
Source: RefSeq, a predicted model, not a curated record